RNAcentral lists this ribosomal RNA (129 nucleotides) under Triticum aestivum (bread wheat). Its description in RNAcentral is "partial small subunit ribosomal RNA". Lineage: Eukaryota; Viridiplantae; Streptophyta; Magnoliopsida; Poales; Poaceae. The record is from RNAcentral.
CAAUAUGAGUUACACAAUUUCCUCAUUAUUUUGUUUACCCACAAGGAGACCUCUUUUCCGCACUCAUUUUUGUCCUCACUACUGAUUUGCUCCAAUCCAUUUUCAAUGAAGCUUUGGACAACAAUUUGA